RNAcentral lists this ribosomal RNA (460 nucleotides) under uncultured bacterium. RNAcentral describes it as "partial 16S ribosomal RNA". It matches the Rfam family "Bacterial small subunit ribosomal RNA", at positions 338 to 795 of the family's 1533-position model. The record is from RNAcentral.
CCUACGGGGUGCAGCAGUGAGGAAUAUUGGUCAAUGGACGAGAGUCUGAACCAGCCAAGUAGCGUGAAGGAUGACUGCCCUAUGGGUUGUAAACUUCUUUUAUAUGGGAAUAAAACGUUCCACGUGUGGGAUUUUGUAUGUACCAUAUGAAUAAGGAUCGGCUAACUCCGUGCCAGCAGCCGCGGUAAUACGGAGGAUCCGAGCGUUAUCCGGAUUUAUUGGGGUUAAAGGGAGCGUAGGUGGAUUGUUAAGUCAGUUGUGAAAGUUUGCGGCUCAACCGUAAAAUUGCAGUUGAAACUGGCAGUCUUGAGUACAGUAGAGGUGUGCGGAAUUCGUGGUGUAGCGGUGAAAUGCUUAGAUAUCACGAAGAACUCCGAUUGCGAAGGCAGUUCACUGGACUGCAACUGACACUGAGGCUCGAAAGUGUGGGUAUCAAACAGGAUUAGAUACCCGUGUAGUC